CCCCAGGCGAUCUGCCCAACUCGGCCUCCCAAAGUGCUGGGAUUACAGGCGUGAGCCACCACGCCCAGCCGCAUUUGGAUUUUAUAAUAAGCUUUGCUGUGCAGGAGAAGUGGUCCCUGGCAUCCCAGCCCCCUGGCCUGACGAGGUUGGAGGGCUCCUUGGGCCCCCACCACUCUGCUGCAGCCAGGGUGGGUGCAGGGCUGGGAGGGUGAGCCACGAACUUGACAUCGGUGACCUUCACUGCCACCUGGUGGACAGCCUGGGAGUGGUAGCUGGUGGGCUGCGCGGCGGAAGGGGUGCAGUGUCCCGGACGAAGACGGCUGAGCAUUGUGGAGACCAGCAUAGAGAGGCCACAGCAAGUGGGGUGUGACAUCAGGGACAAGGGAGAGGUCACAGACUCGGAUAGUGGCCGUCCUGUGCUGGCCCCUGCAUCUGGGUGGUUGGCAGGUGGAGCACCAAGAUACAGGGUUGAUAGGACUAGGCUGGAAUCCUGGACUCUCUCUGAUCCCGGCAAAGUCACAGAAGCUUCUCCUGUCCUGUCGCUGGUCUUUGGAAGGGAGGAGUGACACCCUCCUCCUGGGCUGGCGCGGGGAAGAGAAGCUCCCGCGUGUGAAACAGCUCCACCACCAAGCGCCUGCAGACGAGCGGUGUGUUCCGCCUGGAACCUGCCGAGGGAACGUGUGGGGAAGGUGUGGCCGCCCUGGGAGGCUCAGCUCUGCAGGAAAUUCGCUCCUUCUGAUGUGCGUUUCAAACGGCCCUACGACAUCUUUUUCUUAAAUUGAGAUGCUCUGUGGCUGCGUGUGCCCUACAGCAGCACGGUUCAGUAGGCAGAGGCCACUUCUACUACCCGGCUAAGGAAAAGAUGGGCAGAGCCUGCUCUGGAUGACGCUGUGUUCCAGCCGGCGGAGAGGGUCCCCCAUUUCCUCGGAACUAAUCCUCCAGGAAAUUAACAGACAGUUUGCUGUGGACAACUAGAGCCCUCCCCUUCCUUAGCCCUGAGCGAGGUAAACAAUUCUGCUCUGCCUUCCGGAAGUUUCAAAUUAGCUCUUCAACCAGCGUUUUCACGCAGCUUCCAGUCCUGCCACAGUCUUGAAGAAGAGAUCAGCUUUCGCGUCUUCAUUCUUGCCAAGAUUAGCUGCCCUUCGAAUCUCCCGUGUGUCAUUAAUCCCAGCACGAACAAGCACUUGGGAACUGCGGGCUGCAGAUGGUCUGCUUAUCCUACGGAACCCUCCUCUUUUGAGGCUUAACCCCUUUAGUCUUUGUUGCUUCUGUAGCUUUCUGAUGCCAUUAAAGAGAUGAUUUUUAUA
RNAcentral lists this long non-coding RNA (1307 nucleotides) under Homo sapiens (human). RNAcentral's name for it is "HSALNT0392099". Lineage: Eukaryota; Metazoa; Chordata; Mammalia; Primates; Hominidae. The record is from RNAcentral.